GCGAAGUAGCUGAUUUCACACUGUCAAGAAAAGUCUCUAUCGAGGUUAAAGGUACCCGUACCGCAAACCGACACAGGUGGGUGAGGAGAGUAUCCUAAGGCCAGCGAGAGAACUGUUGUUAAGGAACUCGGCAAAAUGACCCCGUAACUUAGGGAUAAGGGGUGCCACCAUCAGGUGGCCGCAGAGAAUAGGCCCAAGCGACUGUUUACCAAAAACAUAGGUUUCUGCUAAGUCGCAAGACGAUGUAUAGGAGCUGACGCCGGCCCGGUGCUGGAAGGUUAAGGGGAUCUGUUAGAGCAAUCGAAGCAGUGAACUUAAGCCCCAGUAAACGGCGGCCGUAACUAUAACGGUCCUAAGGUAGCGAAAUUCCUUGUCGGGUAAGUUCCGACCCGCACGAAAGGCGUAACGAUUUGGGCACUGUCUCA
This 425-nucleotide ribosomal RNA is filed under the name Clostridioides difficile. RNAcentral's name for it is "bacterial LSU rRNA". It matches the Rfam family "Bacterial large subunit ribosomal RNA", at positions 1585 to 2023 of the family's 2925-position model. The record is from RNAcentral. Lineage: Bacteria; Bacillati; Bacillota; Clostridia; Peptostreptococcales; Peptostreptococcaceae.